RNAcentral lists this ribosomal RNA (399 nucleotides) under uncultured bacterium. RNAcentral describes it as "bacterial SSU rRNA". It matches the Rfam family "Bacterial small subunit ribosomal RNA", at positions 356 to 772 of the family's 1533-position model. The record is from RNAcentral.
GGGGAAUAUUGGACAAUGGGGGCAACCCUGAUCCAGCAAUGCCGCGUGAGUGAGGAAGGCCUUAGGGUUGUAAAGCUCUUUCGGCGGGGACGAUGAUGACGGUACCCGCAGAAGAAGCCCCGGCUAACUUCGUGCCAGCAGCCGCGGUAAUACGAAGGGGGCUAGCGUUGUUCGGAAUUACUGGGCGUAAAGCGCACGUAGGCGGAUCGAUCAGUCAGGGGUGAAAUCCCAGGGCUCAACCCUGGAACUGCCUUUGAUACUGUCGAUCUGGAGUAUGGAAGAGGUGAGUGGAAUUCCGAGUGUAGAGGUGAAAUUCGUAGAUAUUCGGAGGAACACCAGUGGCGAAGGCGGCUCACUGGUCCAUUACUGACGCUGAGGUGCGAAAGCGUGGGGAGCAAA